CCUGCCACUAGAAGAGUUGCAGGUGUCGCUGUUGUGUCAUAUGUGCAUUAGUAGGUAGCAGAGAGGAGAGAGGCUCUGUCUACACAGAGUGUUAUGACCUGUGAACACCUACAUGAUCAGUAGCGUAACAUU
This is a small nucleolar RNA of Acomys russatus (golden spiny mouse), 132 nucleotides long. RefSeq annotates it as small nucleolar RNA SNORA17. NCBI's taxonomy places the organism in Eukaryota, Metazoa, Chordata, Mammalia, Rodentia, Muridae. The record is from RefSeq and is a predicted model, not a curated record. The transcript has a single exon.